This 87-nucleotide ribosomal RNA is filed under the name Serratia marcescens. RNAcentral's name for it is "partial 23S ribosomal RNA". The stretch from base 10 to 87 matches the Rfam family "Bacterial large subunit ribosomal RNA", at positions 1 to 78 of the family's 2925-position model. The record is from RNAcentral. Lineage: Bacteria; Pseudomonadati; Pseudomonadota; Gammaproteobacteria; Enterobacterales; Yersiniaceae.
GGGUUGUGAGGUUAAGUGACUAAGCGUACACGGUGGAUGCCUAGGCAGUCAGAGGCGAUGAAGGGCGUGCUAAUCUGCGAAAAGCGU